UGGGGAAUCUUGCACAAUGGGGGCAACCCUGAUGCAGCGACGCCGCGUGAGCGAUGAAGGUUUUCGGAUCGUAAAGCUCUGUUGUUAAGGAAGAACGAGUGUGAGAAUGGAAAGUUCAUGCUGUGACGGUACUUAACCAGAAAGGGACGGCUAACUACGUGCCAGCAGCCGCGGUAAUACGUAGGUCCCGAGCGUUGUCCGGAUUUAUUGGGCGUAAAGCGAGCGCAGGCGGUUAGAAAAGUCUGAAGUGAAAGGCAGUGGCUCAACCAUUGUAGGCUUUGGAAACUGUUUAACUUGAGUGCAGAAGGGGAGAGUGGAAUUCCAUGUGUAGCGGUGAAAUGCGUAGAUAUAUGGAGGAACACCGGUGGCGAAAGCGGCUCUCUGGUCUGUAACUGACGCUGAGGCUCGAAAGCGUGGGGAGCAAACAGG
Molecule: ribosomal RNA, 429 nt
Filed under: Verrucomicrobiota bacterium
Lineage: Bacteria; Pseudomonadati; Verrucomicrobiota
Description: Verrucomicrobia bacterium partial 16S ribosomal RNA
Rfam family: Bacterial small subunit ribosomal RNA
Source: RNAcentral